RNAcentral lists this ribosomal RNA (443 nucleotides) under uncultured bacterium. RNAcentral's name for it is "SSU rRNA". It matches the Rfam family "Bacterial small subunit ribosomal RNA", at positions 26 to 518 of the family's 1533-position model. The record is from RNAcentral.
AGAGCGAACGCUGGCGGCAGGCCUAACACAUGCAAGUCGAGCGCUCCGCAAGGGGAGCGGCAGACGGGAGAGUAACACGUGGGAACGUACCCUCCAGUUCGGAACAACCCAGGGAAACUUGGGCUAAUACCGAAAUACGUCCGUAAGGAGAAAGAUUUAUCGCUGAAGGAUCGGCCCGCGUCUGAUUAGCUUGUUGGUGAGGUAACGGCUCACCAAGGCUACGAUGGGUAGCUGGUCUGAGAGGACGAUCAGCCACACUGGGACUGAGACACGGCCCAGACUCCUACGGGAGGCAGCAGUGGGGAAUAUUGGACAAUGGGGGCAACCCUGAUCCAGCAAUGCCGCGUGAGUGAUGAAGGCCUUAGGGUUGUAAAGCUCUUUCGGCGGGAAGAUAAUGACGGUACCGCAGAAGAAGCCCCGGCUAACUUCGUGCCAGCAGCCGC